GAUGAACGCUGGCGGCGUGCCUAAUACAUGCAAGUCGAGCGAACGGACGAGAAGCUUGCUUCUCUGAUGUUAGCGGCGGACGGGUGAGUAACACGUGGAUAACCUACCUAUAAGACUGGGAUAACUUCGGGAAACCGGAGCUAAUACCGGAUAAUAUUUUGAACCGCAUGGUUCAAAAGUGAAAGACGGUCUUGCUGUCACUUAUAGAUGGAUCCGCGCUGCAUUAGCUAGUUGGUGGGGUAAAAGCCUACCAAGGCGACGAUGCAUAGCCGACCUGAGAGGGUGAUCGGCCACACUGGGACUGAGACACGGCCCAGACUCCUGCGGGAGGCAGCAGUAGGGAAUCUUCCGCAAUGGGCGAAAGCCUGACGGAGCAACGCCGCGUGAGUGAAGAAGGAUUUCGGUUCGUAAAGCUCUGUUGUUAGGGAAGAAUGAUUGUGUAGUAACUAUACACAGUAGAGACGGUACCUAACCAGAAAGCCACGGCCAACUACGUGCCAGCAGCCGCGGUAAUACGUAGGUGGCAAGCGUUGUCCGGAAUUAUUGGGCGUAAAGCGCGCGCAGGUGGUUUAAUAAGUCUGAUGUGAAAGCCCACGGCUCAACCGUGGAGGGUCAUUGGAAACUGUUAAACUUGAGUGCAGGAGAGAAAAGUGGAAUUCCUAGUGUAGCGGUGAAAUGCGUAGAGAUUAGGAGGAACACCAGUGGCGAAGGCGGCUUUUUGGCCUGUAACUGACACUGAGGCGCGAAAGCGUGGGGAGCAAACAGGAUUAGAUACCCUGGUAGUCCACGCCCUAAACGAUGUCAAUUAGCUGUUGGGCAACUUGAUUGCUUAGUAGCGUAGCUAACGCGUGAAAUUGACCGCCUGGGGAGUACGGUCGCAAGAUUAAAACUCAAAGGAAUUGACGGGGACCCGCACAAGCGGUGGAUGAUGUGGAUUAAUUCGAUGCAACGCGAAGAACCUUACCUGGUCUUGACAUGUACGGAAUCCUCCAGAGACGGAGGAGUGCCUUCGGGAGCCGUAACACAGGUGCUGCAUGGCUGUCGUCAGCUCGUGUCGUGAGAUGUUGGGUUAAGUCCCGCAACGAGCGCAACCCUUGUCAUUAGUUGCCAUCAUUUAGUUGGGCACUCUAAUGAGACUGCCGGUGACAAGCCGGAGGAAGGUGGGGAUGACGUCAAGUCCUCAUGGCCCUUAUGACCAGGGCUUCACACGUCAUACAAUGGUCGGUACAGAGGGUAGCCAAGCCGCGAGGUGGAGCCAAUCUCACAAAACCGAUCGUAGUCCGGAUUGCACUCUGCAACUCGAGUGCAUGAAGUCGGAAUCGCUAAUAAUCGCAGGUCAGCAUACUGCGGUGAAUACGUUCCCGGGUCU
RNAcentral lists this ribosomal RNA (1369 nucleotides) under uncultured bacterium. Its description in RNAcentral is "partial 16S ribosomal RNA". It matches the Rfam family "Bacterial small subunit ribosomal RNA", at positions 28 to 1381 of the family's 1533-position model. The record is from RNAcentral.